AGUCGAGCGAGCUUGCCUAGAUGAUUUUAGUGCUUGCACUAAAUGAAACUAGAUACAAGCGAGCGGCGGACGGGUGAGUAACACGUGGGUAACCUGCCCAAGAGACUGGGAUAACACCUGGAAACAGAUGCUAAUACCGGAUAACAACACUAGACGCAUGUCUAGAGUUUGAAAGAUGGUUCUGCUAUCACUCUUGGAUGGACCUGCGGUGCAUUAGCUAGUUGGUAAGGUAACGGCUUACCAAGGCAAUGAUGCAUAGCCGAGUUGAGAGACUGAUCGGCCACAUUGGGACUGAGACACGGCCCAAACUCCUACGGGAGGCAGCAGUAGGGAAUCUUCCACAAUGGACGAAAGUCUGAUGGAGCAACGCCGCGUGAGUGAAGAAGGGUUUCGGCUCGUAAAGCUCUGUUGGUAGUGAAGAAAGAUAGAGGUAGUAACUGGCCUUUAUUUGACGGUAAUUACUUAGAAAGUCACGGCUAACUACGUGCCAGCAGCCGCGGUAAUACGUAGGUGGCAAGCGUUGUCCGGAUUUAUUGGGCGUAAAGCGAGUGCAGGCGGUUCAAUAAGUCUGAUGUGAAAGCCUUCGGCUCAACCGGAGAAUUGCAUCAGAAACUGUUGAACUUGAGUGCAGAAGAGGAGAGUGGAACUCCAUGUGUAGCGGUGGAAUGCGUAGAUAUAUGGAAGAACACCAGUGGCGAAGGCGGCUCUCUGGUCUGCAACUGACGCUGAGGCUCGAAAGCAUGGGUAGCGAACAGGAUUAGAUACCCUGGUAGUCCAUGCCGUAAACGAUGAGUGCUAAGUGUUGGGAGGUUUCCGCCUCUCAGUGCUGCAGCUAA
RNAcentral lists this ribosomal RNA (836 nucleotides) under Lactobacillus johnsonii. Its description in RNAcentral is "bacterial SSU rRNA". It matches the Rfam family "Bacterial small subunit ribosomal RNA", at positions 60 to 855 of the family's 1533-position model. The record is from RNAcentral. Lineage: Bacteria; Bacillati; Bacillota; Bacilli; Lactobacillales; Lactobacillaceae.